GCUCUUUGAAGAACACAUGACUUUAGGAGUACCACUGUCCUGAAUCUAAUUAAACCUUUCCACCAAACUUGCAGUUUACAGGACUACAGGGGAUGAAGGGUUAGAAAGGAUGAUGAUCCAAGGACCCAGUGAGACAAACCGAGAGUGUGAGGUGGUUUACCAGAUGCCUGCUCUGGUGCCUUCCAACAGACACUGCCACAAGAAAGGUGAGGUGUUCCACGUAAACAACAGGAUCGAACUCAGGCCCUUGCACUUGCAAGGCAGGUGUGGCACCACUGAGCUAAAUCCCAGGCCCUUGAAAGUUAUUUAAGAUUUUGAAAAUCCCAAAGAAUCUACUAAAAACUAUUAGAAUUAGAAAAUGAGUUCAGCAAAGUUGAGGGCAUAAGAUCAAUAUAAAAUGAUCAAUUGUGUUUUUUUGUUUGUUUGUUUUGUUUUUUGGUACCGGGGAUCAAACUCGGGACCUUGUGCUUGUGAGGCAGA
This 480-nucleotide long non-coding RNA is filed under the name Heterocephalus glaber (naked mole-rat). Its description in RNAcentral is "lncRNA (ENSHGLG00000032569.1)". Lineage: Eukaryota; Metazoa; Chordata; Mammalia; Rodentia; Bathyergidae. The record is from RNAcentral.